RNAcentral lists this ribosomal RNA (540 nucleotides) under Mycolicibacterium hodleri. Its description in RNAcentral is "bacterial SSU rRNA". It matches the Rfam family "Bacterial small subunit ribosomal RNA", at positions 44 to 601 of the family's 1533-position model. The record is from RNAcentral. Lineage: Bacteria; Bacillati; Actinomycetota; Actinomycetes; Mycobacteriales; Mycobacteriaceae.
GUGCUUAACACAUGCAAGUCGAACGGAAAGGCCCUUCGGGGUACUCGAGUGGCGAACGGGUGAGUAACACGUGGGUGAUCUGCCCUGCACUUCGGGAUAAGCCUGGGAAACUGGGUCUAAUACCGGAUAUGACCUUGGGAUGCAUGUCCCUUGGUGGAAAGCUUUUGCGGUGUGGGAUGGGCCCGCGGCCUAUCAGCUUGUUGGUGGGGUUAAGGCCUACCAAGGCGACGACGGGUAGCCGGCCUGAGAGGGUGACCGGCCACACUGGGACUGAGAUACGGCCCAGACUCCUACGGGAGGCAGCAGUGGGGAAUAUUGCACAAUGGGCGCAAGCCUGAUGCAGCGACGCCGCGUGAGGGACGACGGCCUUCGGGUUGUAAACCUCUUUCAGCACAGACGAAGCGCGAGUGACGGUAUGUGCAGAAGAAGGACCGGCCAACUACGUGCCAGCAGCCGCGGUAAUACGUAGGGUCCGAGCGUUGUCCGGAAUUACUGGGCGUAAAGAGCUCGUAGGUGGUUUGUCGCGUUGUUCGUGAAAUC